RNAcentral lists this ribosomal RNA (404 nucleotides) under Actinomycetes bacterium. Its description in RNAcentral is "Actinobacteria bacterium partial 16S ribosomal RNA". It matches the Rfam family "Bacterial small subunit ribosomal RNA", at positions 355 to 776 of the family's 1533-position model. Lineage: Bacteria; Bacillati; Actinomycetota; Actinomycetes. The record is from RNAcentral.
UGGGGAAUAUUGGACAAUGGGCGCAAGCCUGAUCCAGCCAUGCCGCGUGAGUGAUGAAGGCCCUAGGGUUGUAAAGCUCUUUCACCGGUGAAGAUAAUGACGGUAACCGGAGAAGAAGCCCCGGCUAACUUCGUGCCAGCAGCCGCGGUAAUACGAAGGGGGCUAGCGUUGUUCGGAUUUACUGGGCGUAAAGCGCACGUAGGCGGACUAUUAAGUCAGGGGUGAAAUCCCGGGGCUCAACCCCGGAACUGCCUUUGAUACUGGUAGUCUUUAGUUCGAGAGAGGUGCGUUGCAUUCCGCGUGUAGAGGUGAAAUUCGUAGAUAUUCGGAGGAACACCAGUGGCGAAGGCGGCUCACUGGCUCGAUACUGACGCUGAGGUGCGAAAGCGUGGGGAGCAAACAGG